This 436-nucleotide ribosomal RNA is filed under the name uncultured soil bacterium. RNAcentral describes it as "bacterial SSU rRNA". It matches the Rfam family "Bacterial small subunit ribosomal RNA", at positions 26 to 460 of the family's 1533-position model. The record is from RNAcentral.
AGAUUGAACGCUGGCGGCAUGCCUUACACAUGCAAGUCGAACGGCAGCACGGGAGCAAUCCUGGUGGCGAGUGGCGAACGGGUGAGUAACAUAUCGGAACGUACCCAGUAGUGGGGGAUAGCCCGGCGAAAGCCGGAUUAAUACCGCAUACGACCUAUGGGUGAAAGCGGGGGAUCGCAAGACCUCGCGCUAUUGGAGCGGCCGAUAUCAGAUUAGCUAGUUGGCGGGGUAAGAGCCCACCAAGGCGACGAUCUGUAGCUGGUCUGAGAGGACGACCAGCCACACUGGGACUGAGACACGGCCCAGACUCCUACGGGAGCAGCAGUGGGGAAUUUUGGACAAUGGGCGCAAGCCUGAUCCAGCCAUCGCCGCGUGUGGGAAGAAGGCCGUUCGGUUACGUAAACCGUACUUUUUCGUACGAGGAAGGAACGGUCGU